AUUGAACGCUGGCGGCACGCCUUACACAUGCAAGUCGAACGGCAGCACGGGGGCAACCCUGGUGGCGAGUGGCGAACGGGUGAGUAACGCAUCGGAACGUGCCCAGUAGUGGGGGAUAACCAGUCGAAAGACUGGCUAAUACCGCAUACGACCUAAGGGUGAAAGCGGGGGACCGUAAGGCCUCGCGCUAUUGGAGCGGCCGAUGUCUGAUUAGCUAGUUGGUGAGGUAAAGGCUCACCAAGGCGACGAUCAGUAGCUGGUCUGAGAGGAUGACCAGCCACACGGGGACUGGGAAACGGCCCAGACUCCUACGGGAGGCAGCAGUGGGGAAUUUUGGACAAUGGGCGCAAGCCUGAUCCAGCCAUGCCGCGUGCGGGAAGAAGGCCUUCGGGUUGUAAACCGCUUUUGGCAGGAACGAAACAGCAUCCCCUAAUACGGGGUGUUAAUGACGGUACCUGCAGAAUAAGCACCGGCUAACUACGUGCCAGCCGCCGCGGUAA
This 500-nucleotide ribosomal RNA is filed under the name uncultured bacterium. RNAcentral's name for it is "partial 16S ribosomal RNA". It matches the Rfam family "Bacterial small subunit ribosomal RNA", at positions 29 to 523 of the family's 1533-position model. The record is from RNAcentral.